This 410-nucleotide long non-coding RNA is filed under the name Heterocephalus glaber (naked mole-rat). RNAcentral describes it as "lncRNA (ENSHGLG00000044738.1)". Lineage: Eukaryota; Metazoa; Chordata; Mammalia; Rodentia; Bathyergidae. The record is from RNAcentral.
CCCAGGAGACCCCGCGCGUGUGACAUUCCCGGCGCAGACUCGAGUGUACGGUUGCGAUCGAACGGGUGGGCCUGGGCCGGCCGGGCCUGGGGCCUUCUGUGUCUGCGCGAUCGCCUCCUGGCAAAGAAGGCCACAUAGUGAGGAGAGGACGGUCCUCAGAAAGAGAGAGACUCGCGCCUGACGGUCAACUGGGCGAGCGGACACCGGGCACAGAAAGGGGCCGUGGGGAAGUCCCAGUAGAUGAAUUAUUGGAGAUUAAACCCAGGACUGAGCUAUAUCUUUGGCCCUUUUAAAAUUUUGAACAGGGUCUCACUAAGUUGCCCAGGCUGGGCUCGAACUUGGAAUCCUUCUUCGCCAUCCUCCCAGAGUGCUAGGAUUACAAGCAUGUGCCACCAUGCCCGAUUUAUCCA